This 336-nucleotide unclassified non-coding RNA is filed under the name soil metagenome. RNAcentral describes it as "partial contains 5.8S ribosomal RNA, internal transcribed spacer 2, and large subunit ribosomal RNA". The stretch from base 1 to 120 matches the Rfam family "5.8S ribosomal RNA", at positions 35 to 154 of the family's 154-position model. The record is from RNAcentral.
GAUGAAGAACGCAGCUAAAUGCGAUAAGUAGUGUGAAUUGCAGAAUUCAGUGAAUCAUCGAAUCUUUGAACGCACAUUGCGCCCUUUGGUAUUCCUUAGGGCAUGCCUGUUCGAGCGUCAUUUGAAACCUCAAGCUCAGCUUGGUGUUGGGUGUCUGUCCCCGCCUCCGCGGGGACUCGCCUCAAAAUCAUUGGCGGCCGGUACGUUGGCUUCGAGCGCAGCAGAAACGCGAACUCGAGGCCCGGCGGAUCGGCGACCAGAAGUCUCUUCUUCACAGUUUGACCUCGGAUCAGGUAGGGAUACCCGCUGAACUUAAGCAUAUCAAUAAGCGGAGGA